Molecule: ribosomal RNA, 230 nt
Filed under: uncultured bacterium
Lineage: Bacteria
Description: partial 16S ribosomal RNA
Rfam family: Bacterial small subunit ribosomal RNA
Source: RNAcentral
GACAGAGGGGGCGAAGCGUUGCUCGGAAUUACUGGGCGUAAAGGGCGCGAGUAGGCGGAAUGGCAAGUCGGUCGUGAAAUCCUUCGGCUCAACCGAAGAACGUCGAUCGAAACUGCCGUUCUUGAGGAUUGCAGAGGAGACUGGAAUUCCCGGUGUAGCGGUGAAAUGUGUAGAGAUCGGGAGGAACACCGGUGGCGAAGGCAGCUCUCUGGGUCCCUACCGACGCUGGG